CGAGAAUCAUUCACAAUGGGGGAAACCCUGAUGGUGCGACGCCGCGUGGGGGAAUGAAGGUCUUCGGAUUGUAAACCCCUGUCAUGUGGGAGCAAAUUAAAAAGAUAGUACCACAAGAGGAAGAGACGGCUAACUCUGUGCCAGCAGCCGCGGUAAUACAGAGGUCUCAAGCGUUGUUCGGAAUCACUGGGCGUAAAGCGUGCGUAGGCUGUUUCGUAAGUCGUGUGUGAAAGGCGCGGGCUCAACCCGCGGACGGCACAUGAUACUGCGAGACUAGAGUAAUGGAGGGGGAACCGGAAUUCUCGGUGUAGCAGUGAAAUGCGUAGAUAUCGAGAGGAACACUCGUGGCGAAGGCGGGUUCCUGGACAUUAACUGACGCUGAGGCACGAAGGCCAGGGGAGCGAAAGGGAUUAGAUACCCCUGUAGUCCUGGCAGUAAACGGUGCACGCUUGGUGUGCGGGGAAUCGACCCCCUGCGUGCCGGAGCUAACGCGUUAAGCGUGCCGCCUGGGGAGUACGGUCGCAAGAUUAAAACUCAAAGAAAUUGACGGGGACCCGCACAAGCGGUGGAGUAUGUGGCUUAAUUCGAUGCAACGCGAAGAACCUUACCUGGGCUUGACAUGUAAUGAACAACAUGUGAAAGCAUGCGACUCUUCGGAGGCGUUACACAGGUGCUGCAUGGCCGUCGUCAGCUCGUGUCGUGAGAUGUUUGGUUAAGUCCAGCAACGAGCGCAACCCCUGUUGCCAGUUACCAGCACGUGAAGGUGGGGACUCUGGCGAGACUGCCCAGAUCAACUGGGAGGAAGGUGGGGACGACGUCAGGUCAGUAUGGCCCUUAUGCCCAGGGCUGCACACGUACUACAAUGCCCAGUACAGAGGGGGCCGAAGCCGCGAGGCGGAGGAAAUCCUGAAAACUGGGCCCAGUUCGGACUGUAGGCUGCAACCCGCCUACACGAAGCCGGAAUCGCUAGUAAUGGCGCAUCAGCUACGGCGCCGUGAAUACGUUCCCG
This 1009-nucleotide ribosomal RNA is filed under the name uncultured bacterium. RNAcentral's name for it is "bacterial SSU rRNA". It matches the Rfam family "Bacterial small subunit ribosomal RNA", at positions 356 to 1376 of the family's 1533-position model. The record is from RNAcentral.